RNAcentral lists this ribosomal RNA (438 nucleotides) under uncultured bacterium. Its description in RNAcentral is "bacterial SSU rRNA". It matches the Rfam family "Bacterial small subunit ribosomal RNA", at positions 338 to 790 of the family's 1533-position model. The record is from RNAcentral.
CCUACGGGGGGCAGCAGUGGGGAAUAUUGGGCAAUGGGGGAAACCCUGACCCAGCAACGCCGCGUGAGGGAAGAAGGUCUUCGGAUUGUAAACCUCUUUUACCAGGGAAGAAGAAAGUGACGGUACCUGGAGAAAAAGCCACGGCUAACUACGUGCCAGCAGCCGCGGUAAUACGUAGGUGGCAAGCGUUGUCCGGAUUUACUGGGUGUAAAGGGCGUGUAGGCGGGAAGACAGGUCAGAUGUGAAAUGUCGGGGCUCAACCCCGGAACUGCAUUUGAAACCGUUUUUCUUGAGUAUCGGAGAGGCAGGCGGAAUUCCUAGUGUAGCGGUGAAAUGCGUAGAUAUUAGGAGGAACACCAGUGGCGAAGGCGGCCUGCUGGACGACAACUGACGCUGAGGCGCGAAAGCGUGGGGAGCAAACAGGAUUAGAUACCCGAG